RNAcentral lists this transfer RNA (90 nucleotides) under Cervus elaphus hippelaphus. It matches the Rfam family "tRNA". From Rfam's summary of the family: Transfer RNA (tRNA) molecules are approximately 80 nucleotides in length. Their secondary structure includes four short double-helical elements and three loops (D, anti-codon, and T loops). Further hydrogen bonds mediate the characteristic L-shaped molecular structure. tRNAs have two regions of fundamental functional importance: the anti-codon, which is responsible for specific mRNA codon recognition, and the 3' end, to which the tRNAs corresponding amino acid is attached (by aminoacyl-tRNA synthetases). tRNAs cope with the degeneracy of the genetic code in two manners: having more than one tRNA (with a specific anti-codon) for a particular amino acid; and 'wobble' base-pairing, i.e. permitting non-standard base-pairing at the 3rd anti-codon position. Lineage: Eukaryota; Metazoa; Chordata; Mammalia; Artiodactyla; Cervidae. The record is from Rfam by way of RNAcentral. RNAcentral also lists the same sequence under 1 other name.
CCUUCGAUAGCUCAGUCGGUAGAGCGGAGGACUGUAGUGUGAAGCUUCUCAGGCAUCCUUAGGUCGCUGGUUCGAAUCCGGCUCGAAGGA